This is a long non-coding RNA of Bactrocera oleae (olive fruit fly), 659 nucleotides long. RefSeq lists it as uncharacterized. The record is from RefSeq and is a predicted model, not a curated record. Lineage: Eukaryota; Metazoa; Arthropoda; Insecta; Diptera; Tephritidae.
UUAUAUAAACGAACAUAUGUAUACUUGCACUCAUAUCAAGCAGCAAGCAGAUUGAAAGUUAAAACAACGAUUAGUUGUUGCUGUCUCAGCUGUUGCUGUUGUAGCUUUUUCUAUAAAAUCGAACCAAGCUAACAGAAAUCUCCAUUGCUGUAGUAGAGACGAGUUCGUAAAAUUCACGAUGACUAUAGCGUACGCGAAGCAAAUAAACAAUAAAAAAAAAAAAAUAAAAUUAAAUGUGAUAGCAAAGACGACGAAGCGUCAUGUGAUGAAACACAAUACAAUUGACCAAAUGAAUAACAAUACGAAAAACUUGAUUGUGUCGGUAUCUGACAAAUAUAUACAAUAAACUAUUUUUAAUGUUUUAUAUUGUUUCGUCUGUUUUUUGAUAUUUAACUCGCUAAAAUACAAGUGCGAGUUAAUACAUUUUUCAUUCAUGUGGAAUUAUAUAUGUAUAUUGCAUAAUGGAAUUAGAUGGACAUAUUUACUCACCCCUUUAACCAUUUUCAUGCGUUUCAAAGCGAACGAAAGAAGCUGACUUAGCACAUCUAAGGACAUCUCAUUGCGACGAGAACUGCUGUUGGAACGACGAAAGAAUAUCAAGGAAUUAGAUUGUUUAAGUUUUAGAUUUCAAAUAAAUAUAAAAAUUAUUACUGAGAAUG